CCUACGGGAGGCAGCAGUGGGGAAUAUUGCGCAAUGGGCGAAAGCCUGACGCAGCGACGCCGCGUGAGGGAUGAAGGUCUUCGGAUCGUAAACCUCUGUCAGCAGGGAAGAACGGUCACUGUGCUAAUCAGCAGUGAAUUGACGGUACCUGCAACGGAAGCACCGGCUAACUCCGUGCCAGCAGCCGCGGUAAUACGGAGGGUGCGAGCGGUAAUCGGAAUUACUGGGCGUAAAGCGCUCGUAGGCGGUAUGUCAAGUCAAGGGUGAAAUCCCCGGGCUCAACGUGGGAACUGCCUUUGAAACUGGCAAACUGGAGUGUGGGAGAGGAUAGUGGAAUUCCAGGUGUAGGAGUGAAAUGCGUAGAUAUCUGGAGGAACAUCAGUGGCGAAGGCGACUAUCUGGCACAUAACUGACGCUGAGGAGCGAAAGCGUGGGUAGCAAACAGGAUUAGAUACCCCUGUAGUC
Molecule: ribosomal RNA, 465 nt
Filed under: uncultured bacterium
Lineage: Bacteria
Description: partial 16S ribosomal RNA
Rfam family: Bacterial small subunit ribosomal RNA
Source: RNAcentral